CCCGGUGCAGCCCCUUGUGGACGCGCUCUGCUCGCUGUCCGACUGUCCGUUCGCCCGCCUUUUCCCUCUCAGUCAUUUGAUGCGGUGUCGGACCAGCGAGGACUCGUCCGUGAUCUCGCCGGACCGGUUUCUCCGCCUGCAGGGCAGGAUCAGCAUGAGCAGCAGGAUGACGAGGACUGCCGCACAGACUGCCAUCAAGGCCACAGGAUAGGCCAGUCCCAGGAUGCCCUGCCAGUUGAUCCCAGGGAGGAAGAAGCCAUCAGAAGACAGGAUGGCAGCAAUGUUGUUUGUGAUGGUCCCGUUUGGGCCUUUGGGAAUGGAGACGCGGUCGAUUCCCAGUUCACCUUCCCAGUUGCCUUGGGUGUACUUUACAGCUACAGUACGACUGCUUGAACGGCAUCAAGUCAAUGAGCAGGAACUAAUUAAACAGCAGACUUCUGUCACCUCCACGUCCGAGCCGUGGCCAUGUUAACGCUCGUUGGAAAGCAUUCCUCACCACGGCGGGGGUCGUAAACCUAAUGCUCCAAAACCACCUGAUGAAUCAGCCACAAAGACUUCUAUACAGCGGCUUUUUAAUAAUGUAUCAAUCUAUGAAUCAAUCUAUGAAAACAGAGUUGCUCAUUAAAUGUGCUCAAAUGUAAAUAGC
Long non-coding RNA from Archocentrus centrarchus (flier cichlid), 646 nucleotides. RefSeq lists it as uncharacterized. Lineage: Eukaryota; Metazoa; Chordata; Actinopteri; Cichliformes; Cichlidae. The transcript has 3 exons. The record is from RefSeq and is a predicted model, not a curated record.